ACGAACGCUGGCGGCGUGCUUAACACAUGCAAGUCGAACGGUGAAGCGCCUUCCUUUUUGGUGGGUGUGGAUGAGUGGCGAACGGGUGAGUAACACGUGAGUAACCUGCCCCCUUCUUCUGGAUAACCGCAUGAAAGUGUGGCUAAUACGGGAUAUUCUGGGUCUGUCGCAUGAUGGGUCUGGGAAAGAUAUUGUUUCGGUGGGGGAUGGGCUCGCGGCCUAUCAGCUUGUUGGUGGGGUGAUGGCCUACCAAGGCGGUGACGGGUAGCCGGCCUGAGAGGGUGGACGGUCACACUGGGACUGAGACACGGACCAGACUCCUACGGGAGGCAGCAGGGGGGAAUAUUGCACAAUGGGCGCAAGCCUGAUGCAGCGACGCCGCGUGAGGGAUGGAGGCCUUCGGGUUGUGAACCUCUUUCGCCAGUGAAGCAGGCCUGCCUCGUUUGUGGGUGGGUUGACGGUAGCUGGAUAAGAAGCGCCGGCUAACUACGUG
Molecule: ribosomal RNA, 493 nt
Filed under: uncultured bacterium
Lineage: Bacteria
Description: partial 16S ribosomal RNA
Rfam family: Bacterial small subunit ribosomal RNA
Source: RNAcentral